CGUGUCUAGUAUCUAACCUUAAUCGUUCCUCAGAAAAAUAGUAUCUAACCCUAACCCCUCCUGUGCUUCUCCCUUCCCCAGCACCCAUCAUCCCCUCUAGCCUCCGCCCCCAGAUCCCCUUGUCACACCACAGAGCCUCUCCCUACCUCCUCCGAUCUACCACGACGGCGCCCCCUCGCACUUUCCCACCGCGCCACUCCUUCCCUCCUCUGAUCUACUUUGAUGGCAGCGCUGGACGCGGGGGGCGACGCUGCACGCAGGGCAGUGGCGCUCGGGGUGAUGAGCUCAUGGUCGUUCUGCAUCCCGGCUAUGAGGACUUCCGCUCGUGUGCUCCGGUAGGGGCGGAAGAGGUGCCGCUGUGGUCCGCAUAGUCUCACUAACCUCAAGGUUAGGUGUGAUGGCGUGUUUUUCUGCAAUCUGCACGGCUCAUGGUGGAGUGGCUGGAGUGUAUUCGAUCGCUGCUGGAUCUGGACUUGGCAACAUGAUCAUUAGGCAAAUGUUACGGAAGCGGUUAUUCUGCUCCCGAGCACAGGUGCAAUCGGUAUCUGGGCGGCUCAUUUUGUCAUUUGGAUGCGCUGCAUUAAAUUAUAAGCCAGUCAGUGGUUCGUUUUUAAAUCAAGUGGGGAGGAAAUACAGUAGACGGCGGGGGCAUACGGGUUGCCGGUCACAGCGCGCGCAGAUGCCGCUGUGACGGAAGGAGAGCCGAGCCGUGGCUCGGGACUGUCAUAUUUUCCUGAUCCGUAGCUCAGGAAAUCAGUUUUCCGUUAGCCGGCGGUGCCCCGGGCUAGUAAAUGAGGAAUGGAUCCGAGGCGGAGUUGUCUCCUACCUCUUGCUACGCCUGUUGGAUCUCCAUUGACGACUGCGGCCUGCUGAGCAGUAGCGGGUGGCGCUAGUUGGGAUGCAGUUCUUGAUGAAGCCCAUUAGAAGGACGGCUGUGGUGGAGGAGGUGAACGACAACGAGCUUCCAACUGAGCCGCCACACUACCCCGCCGUCGCGGUAUCAAUUGAAGAGCUACCCCCAUGGCAAUAGCUAGCGCAGAGGGACAGAUUUGUGCAGCGGUUGGGGAAGGAGCGGCCGGGGUGUAUGUUGAACCGCCAGCAGAGCAGUCAAUUGAUCAGAUUGACCGAGAAACUCCAGGCUAGACUCGAAGACUUCAGGUGUACACAUUCAUGGCGGGCGUGUCUCGUAAGGAAAAUAGAGACCAUAUGAGGUGCCAAUGUCAAAUGAAUGUAAAGAGAAAAGCAUCAUCUGGGUUGUUUUGGGAAAGGAUUUUUGUUAUAUUAUUUUCGAAUAAUGAAAUCGUGAUGAAAUUAGAAAAGGUAAGUAGCUUCUGUGGAAAGCCUGAUUUGCUUUUCCUCCUAACCAGUAAUGAAUAUACUAGCACCAAUCACAUGAUCAACAAUGAAAAAAAAUAGCAAUGUGGGUUGGUUUUAUUGAUACUGGUUAUCGACAUGAGUGAUUAAAUAGCACAAUUUAGGUGACAAACUUGUAAUUACAAACUUAAAUGGUAAAACCCAAGAAAUUUAGUAUGGCCUAUAACGUAGUCUCUUGCAUAUAGAUGUUUGGAUUCCAUAAUGUUUGCCUGAUUUGAGUGAGAUGGAAUCAGAGGACAAAAGAAAGUGUCAAACCAAUGAAUGUGUACAUGAGAAAAACGUCAUCUGUGUUGUUAUUUUUUUCCGAAAAUAUGUUUGUGACAGUUUGAAUUUUUAUGAGACGCAGGGUGAGAAUUGGAGCUGCUGCUCCAGGAUGGACGACCUGCCCUAGGCAGCCCAGCGCCCUUGAGAAAGCAAUUCGUGGAUUCGUUGACAAACCGUGCUUGCCCUGGGUACAGGCUCUGAUACACUCGGCGAGGCGUACAAUUUUUACAAUCUCUACUCUUGGGAGAAGGGUUCAUGUCUCAUAAAGAAUUGCAUGAUAGAGAUGCAGCCUUUUGCUGAAGUUAGGGAUGGGCUAGGAUCGGAGGACAUGAUAGCUGAAAAUGGAGAUGUCAUCAAUCAGCUGCUGGUGCAAACGGCAAUUGCUGCUGCUAGCGGAGAUGCAACUAUUGGGAGCAGGCUUGUUGUAUUGUUGGCACCAAAGAAGCGGAAAGAGAUGCGGCGCCCAACAACUAGCCGGGAGAAAGCACCAUAAGAGGGCCUUAGCAAACGGACAAGGUUCUGCGCUAUAUGUCGCCGGCAGGGGCAGAAGAGAACAACCUGCCCGGACCGGGGUGACAUUCCAAAGCCUGUCCGCAAACUAGCUAGUUGUUAGUCGUAGCAAUUGCCGAAAUGCCUUGUUUGGGAAUAAAAGGAAAACUUAUCUGCAUGAAUGUUUUGACUCAAUUUAUGAUGGUAUGCACAAUGUACGUGCGCUGAUAGGAUGCUGUCAUUUUUUCAUGAA
Triticum dicoccoides is the source of this 2380-nucleotide long non-coding RNA. RefSeq lists it as uncharacterized. The transcript has 5 exons. The record is from RefSeq and is a predicted model, not a curated record. NCBI's taxonomy places the organism in Eukaryota, Viridiplantae, Streptophyta, Magnoliopsida, Poales, Poaceae.